Molecule: ribosomal RNA, 492 nt
Filed under: uncultured bacterium
Lineage: Bacteria
Description: partial 16S ribosomal RNA
Rfam family: Bacterial small subunit ribosomal RNA
Source: RNAcentral
AGUGAACGCUGGCGGUAGGCCUAACACAUGCAAGUCGAACGGCAGCACAGUAAGAGCUUGCUCUUACGGGUGGCGAGUGGCGGACGGGUGAGGAAUACAUCGGAAUCUACUUUUUCGUGGAGGAUAACGUAGGGAAACUUACGCUAAUACCGCAUACAACCUACGGGUGAAAGCAGGGGAUCUUCGGACCUUGCGCGAUUGAAUGAGCCGAUGUCGGAUUAGCUAGUUGGCGGGGUAAAGGCCCACCAAGGCGACGAUCCGUAGCUGGUCUGAGAGGAUGAUCAGCCACACUGGAACUGAGACACGGUCCAGACUCCUACGGGAGGCAGCAGUGGGGAAUAUUGGACAAUGGGCGCAAGCCUGAUCCAGCCAUACCGCGUGGGUGAAGAAGGCCUUCGGGUUGUAAAGCCCUUUUGUUGGGAAAGAAAAGCAGCAGGUUAAUACCCCGCUGUUCUGACGGUACCCAAAGAAUAAGCACCGGCUAACUUCGUG